UAUCAGGCACGCCCAAAACAUCUAGCCAUGCCACACCCAGGGUACUCAGCAGUGAUUAACAUUAAAUAAACGCCAGUUUGAUUUAGCUAAUGAAAACAGAGCUGGCCAAUCCGGUGCCAGCCGCCGCGGGCACACCAAGGCUCAAGUUGAUCCGGCGUAAAGCGUGAUUAGAAGGUUAAACUUAGACUAAGCUGUGGAAGCUUGUUUUUAGGAAACGCACCCCGAAAGGAACCCCAACUCACCCAUUCGAACCCACGACAGUUAGGACACAAACUGAGAUUAGAUACCCCACUAUGCCUAACCGUAAAUCUUAAUUACCGCCAGGAAACUACGAGCAAAGCUUAAAACCCAAAAGACUUGACGGUACCCCACAUCCCACUAGAGGAGCCUGUCCUACAACCGAUAAUCCGCGUUUAACCCAACCAUUUUUUGCUCAGCCUGUAUACUUCCGUCGUCAGUUCACCGCAUGAGCGAAAGUGGGCUCAAUAGCCGCCACCAAUACGUCAGGUCAAAGUGCAGCAAAUAAAAUGGCCAGAGAUUGGCUACACUUUCUAUAGAAGAAACAGAAGAUUAAAUGAAAUAUCAAAAGGUGGAUUUAGAAGUAAGAGAUUAAAAGUGCUUCUCUUAAUGGCACUGGAGUAUGUACACACCGCCCGUCACCCUCU
This 665-nucleotide ribosomal RNA is filed under the name Pristimantis conspicillatus (chirping robber frog). RNAcentral describes it as "partial 12S ribosomal RNA". The record is from RNAcentral. Lineage: Eukaryota; Metazoa; Chordata; Amphibia; Anura; Strabomantidae.